AUGCUGUGGUCUGGGCAUGCUGCAAUAUAUUCCUAAAGACGUUCCCAGGCUUCCGGGACUGUCUCGUCCUGGAGUUGUCGAAAACUAGAAAUCCUAUUCCGAAGGCAU
Panicum virgatum (switchgrass) is the source of this 108-nucleotide small nucleolar RNA. Lineage: Eukaryota; Viridiplantae; Streptophyta; Magnoliopsida; Poales; Poaceae. The record is from RefSeq and is a predicted model, not a curated record.